CGAAAAUUUGGGCGGGAAAAAUUGUGGUCGAAGUUUCACCAAGUUUGUGUUUUUACAAAACCUUCAAAAUUUUACUUUUCUAAUUUGUUUUUGCAAUUUUCUUAGUUUUACUGUAAUUAGAUGAAUAAUUUUAUAGUUAUGCCAAUUAUAUUAUUUUUCCUAGAUGCUUUUCUCAUAUAAUGAUGUAAAAAUAUACUCGAUUUCAUGACAUAUAAUAAUUUUCAAAUCUCACAAGGUCAAUAUUUAGGAAAAAUCUAUAAAAGAGUAAUUUAUUUCCUUCAUAAUGAAUACAAAUAAGUAGUGUGAUGAAAUUUUUUAAUAAUUUUUAUUUAAAUCAUAAAUAACAUCAAUAACAUAUAAAUAACUUUGAUUUUAAUCUUCAAUUUUUUAUUUACAAAUUUUACUUUGUUUACUGAUUGUAAUUAAAUCAGAAAUGAAACAAGUUUCACUUAGUUGUACAAACAUAAAAUGCAGGUUUCAUCAAGUUUUACAAACUUGUCCCUUACAAUAAAAACAUUAAAACCAAAAGUUUUAGCCACACAGGCACAACCUAUGCCUCUUAAAAUCCUUGUGUUCUUUGUGUUUCUUGUGUUCCUUGUUUUCCUUGUGUUUCUUAUGAUCCUUCUGAGCAGUUGAACCAGCAACCCAAAUUCGUGUUCGACACAUACUUAUUCUUGCUCUGAUGUUCUCCUACCGAUGGAUACCUCUUUUCUUGAGUUCUUCUCUUUCUUUUCUUGUAGGCUAGAGGUAAGGCAUUCAACUCCUCGAUUUCUUUUGGAACCAUCCAUUCGAACAUAUGUAAGACUGGAUAUAUAGUCCUUCUAUACGCCAAAGCCUACAUUAAACAAUACAUAUCACUCAACUCGUAUGGUCUAUCUCAUGCUUCGAACACUUAAUGGCAGCGGCUAAUGCAUGGGCACAUGGGUAUCUAUCAAUAUCCAAGUACCUCAGCUGAAUGUUCUAUGUUUCAAAUCCACCAAAUAAUUCUUUCCGUCAUCCCCAAUGAUAUUGUAUUCAAGCUCAAAAAGAGUUCAAUUCAGUCACCAUUAGUUUUUCACUUGUUGGACAUCUUUUAUGCAUUUUAUUCUCCACAGAAGAAACCAAUUUUCGA
This 1111-nucleotide long non-coding RNA is filed under the name Brassica napus (rape). RNAcentral describes it as "long non-coding RNA (BNAP_LNC004408)". The record is from RNAcentral. Lineage: Eukaryota; Viridiplantae; Streptophyta; Magnoliopsida; Brassicales; Brassicaceae.